CGGGAUGCCCAUUUUUGCCUAGACUAUUUUAUUCUUUUCGUCCAGCGGGUCUGUUAUACGAAGUAUUUUUUAACUGCGUCCGCAUUCACAAGGGAUGGAAAAUCCUCGCCAUCCAUGGUCGUCAACAACAAGGCUCCGCCAGAGAAGACCUUCUUGACCAAGAAUAGACCUUCAUAAUUGGGUGUCCUCAAGCCCCGACGGUCGUUCUGAGGAGGAAGGAUCCUUUUC
Molecule: long non-coding RNA, 228 nt
Filed under: Lathyrus oleraceus (garden pea)
Lineage: Eukaryota; Viridiplantae; Streptophyta; Magnoliopsida; Fabales; Fabaceae
Description: Pisum sativum (pea) long non-coding RNA (PSAT_LNC024957)
Source: RNAcentral